UGGGGAAUAUUGGACAAUGGGCGCAAGCCUGAUCCAGCCAUGCCGCGUGAGUGAUGAAGGCCUUAGGGUUGUAAAGCUCUUUUACCUGGGAAGCGGUACCAGGAGAAUAAGCCCCGGCUAACUUCGUGCCAGCAGCCGCGGUAAUACGAAGGGGGCUAGCGUUGUUCGGAUUUACUGGGCGUAAAGCGCACGUAGGCGGAUCUUUAAGUCAGGGGUGAAAUCCCGAGGCUCAACCUCGGAACUGCCUUUGAUACUGGGGAUCUCGAGUCCGGGAGAGGUGAGUGGAACUGCGAGUGUAGAGGUGAAAUUCGUAGAUAUUCGCAAGAACACCAGUGGCGAAGGCGGCUCACUGGCCCGGUACUGACGCUGAGGUGCGAAGGUGUGGGUAGCAAACAGGAUUAGAUACCCCUGUAGU
Molecule: ribosomal RNA, 415 nt
Filed under: uncultured bacterium
Lineage: Bacteria
Description: bacterial SSU rRNA
Rfam family: Bacterial small subunit ribosomal RNA
Source: RNAcentral